UCCGGCCGGGAACUCAAAGGAGACUGCCAGUGAUAAACUGGAGGAAGGUGGGGAUGACGUCAAGUCAUCAUGGCCCUUACGACCAGGGCUACACACGUGCUACAAUGGCGCAUACAAAGAGAAGCGACCUCGCGAGAGCAAGCGGACCUCAUAAAGUGCGUCGUAGUCCGGAUUGGAGUCUGCAACUCGACUCCAUGAAGUCGGAAUCGCUAGUAAUCGUGGAUCAGAAUGCCACGGUGAAUACGUUCCCGGGCCUUGUACACACCGCCCGUCACACCAUGGGAGUGGGUUGCAAAAGAAGUAGGUAGCUUAACCUUCGGGAGGGCGCUUACCACUUUGUGAUUCAUGACUGGGGUGAAGUCGUAACAAGGUAACCGUAGGGGAACCUGCGGUUGGAUCACCUCCUUA
RNAcentral lists this ribosomal RNA (408 nucleotides) under Escherichia coli. RNAcentral describes it as "bacterial SSU rRNA". It matches the Rfam family "Bacterial small subunit ribosomal RNA", at positions 1126 to 1533 of the family's 1533-position model. Lineage: Bacteria; Pseudomonadati; Pseudomonadota; Gammaproteobacteria; Enterobacterales; Enterobacteriaceae. The record is from RNAcentral. RNAcentral also lists the same sequence under 8 other names.